AACAACUCGGUGAAAGUACAUCAAAAGCUCAGAUAAAGAAAUUACAACUGACUUUUAAGCAAAAGAAUUUCGUACUGGGAAAAUUACCACUACAAGAAAGUCAUUUAAAGGACGCAAUAAUUAAUACCAUUUUCGUCGCAGGAAUCUUGUUUAAAUUUGACAUCGUAUACAGCAGGCGAUCAGAAAGUUUUGAAAUAUUGUAUCAGUCGCUUGUUUUUGUUCUUACCGAGAUCUGGUGUGAAGUUCUUUAUCAAGGUAAAAUAGUAAUGAUUUGCUAUCGAGUCGCCGCCAUUACGUUGAUAUUAUUGCAUCUGGUCAUUUCCUGUUUAGCUUUUCACGUCGACUAUCCAAAUUAUCUGCAGAAUACAGUGGCGAAGCGUUCCAAUAUGGAUUUAGCCUUUAUGCAGAUGUACGAGCUAUGUGAUACAGAUUCAAACGGAAUAUUUACUCCGGAUGAAUACCCAUGUUUAGAUGACGCGCUGCGCAUUUUCUUCGGUCGUAAGUGAAACGUGUCUAUGAACUGAAGACUCGUUUUGUUUUGUACUUGGUGUCUUUGGAGGAACGUGUUUUAUCUUAAUGCUGUGUAACACAAACUGAAAAUAAAUCUGAUUUUUUGAAAUUAUCUAGUUCUGUAAAAUUCACUUUCUGACCACCCCACUCGGCAAGCCUCGGCAUUUUCUGGUACCCUCCAACUAACCUCAAAAUGGCUUCGUUCGAAGAGUGUGUAGAGUUUUCAUUGCAAAAUUGUCCUUUGAUUAAAGAAAAUCGGAUAAACCUGAAGGAAAAACAGCUUCAGACAUUGAAAGCUUUGUUUGUUAAAACACUCUUCAU
Long non-coding RNA from Patella vulgata (common limpet), 831 nucleotides. RefSeq lists it as uncharacterized. NCBI's taxonomy places the organism in Eukaryota, Metazoa, Mollusca, Gastropoda, Patellidae. The record is from RefSeq and is a predicted model, not a curated record. The transcript has 3 exons.